GAUGAACGCUAGCUACAGGCUUAACACAUGCAAGUCGAGGGGCAGCAUGAACUUAGCUUGCUAAGUUUGAUGGCGACCGGCGCACGGGUGAGUAACACGUAUCCAACCUGCCGAUGACUCGGGGAUAGCCUUUCGAAAGAAAGAUUAAUACCCGAUGGCAUAGUUCUUCCGCAUGGUAGAACUAUUAAAGGAUUUCGGUCAUCGAUGGGGAUGCGUUCCAUUAGGUUGUUGGCGGGGUAACGGCCCACCAAGCCUUCGAUGGAUAGGGGUUCUGAGAGGAAGGUCCCCCCACAUUGGAACUGAGACACGGUCCAAACUCCUACGGGAGGCAGCAGUGAGGAAUAUUGGUCAAAUGGACGAGAGUCUGAACCAGCCAAGUAGCGUGAAGGAUGACUGCCCUAUGGGUUGUAAACUUCUUUUAUACGGGAAUAAAGUGAGGCACGCGUGCCUUUUUGUAUGUACCGUAUGAAUAAGGAUCGGCUAACUCCGUGCCAGCAGCCGCGGU
This 505-nucleotide ribosomal RNA is filed under the name uncultured bacterium. RNAcentral describes it as "bacterial SSU rRNA". It matches the Rfam family "Bacterial small subunit ribosomal RNA", at positions 28 to 521 of the family's 1533-position model. The record is from RNAcentral.